RNAcentral lists this transfer RNA (82 nucleotides) under Apaloderma vittatum (bar-tailed trogon). It matches the Rfam family "tRNA". Rfam says of the family: Transfer RNA (tRNA) molecules are approximately 80 nucleotides in length. Their secondary structure includes four short double-helical elements and three loops (D, anti-codon, and T loops). Lineage: Eukaryota; Metazoa; Chordata; Aves; Trogoniformes; Trogonidae. The record is from Rfam by way of RNAcentral.
GGCCGGUUAGCUCAGUGGUUUGAGCGUGGUGCUGACGACAAUGUCAACACCGAGGUCACGGGUUCGAUUCCCGCUCAGUCCC